RNAcentral lists this ribosomal RNA (948 nucleotides) under uncultured bacterium. RNAcentral's name for it is "bacterial SSU rRNA". It matches the Rfam family "Bacterial small subunit ribosomal RNA", at positions 8 to 964 of the family's 1533-position model. The record is from RNAcentral.
AGAGUUUGAUCAUGGCUCAGAUUGAACGUUGGCGGCACGCCUAAUACAUGCAAGUCGAACGAGAAAGUACCUUCGGGUAUGAGUACAGUGGCGGACGGGUGAGUAACGCGUAGGAAUCUACCUUCAGGCGGGGGACAACUCGGGGAAACUCGAGCUAAUACCGCAUAAUACCUAAGGGUCAAAGUGGGGGAUCUUCGGACCUCACGCCAGGAGAGGAGCCUGCGUUAGAUUAGCUAGUUGGUGGGGUAAAAGCCUACCAAGGCUACGAUCUAUAGCUGGUCUGAGAGGACGAUCAGCCACACUGGAACUGAGACACGGUCCAGACUCCUACGGGAGGCAGCAGUAGGGAAUCUUGGGCAAUGGGCGAAAGCCUGACCCAGCGAUGCCGCGUGUGCGAAGAAGGCCUUAGGGUUGUAAAGCACUUUCAGUCGUGAAGAAAAGCUUAAAGUUAAUAGCUUUGAGUCUUGACGUUAACGACAGAAGAAGAUCCGGCUAACUCCGUGCCAGCAGCCGCGGUAAUACGGAGGGAUCGAACGUUAAUCGGAAUUACUGGGCGUAAAGCGCGCGUAGGCGGUUUGAUAAGUGGGAUGUGAAAGCCCCGGGCUUAACCUGGGAACUGCAUUCCAAACUGUCAAACUAGAGUAUGGUAGAGGGUGGUAGAAUUUCCUGUGUAGCGGUGAAAUGCGUAGAUAUAGGAAGGAAUACCGAUGGCGAAGGCAGCCACCUGGACCAAUACUGACGCUGAGGUGCGAAAGCGUGGGGAGCAAACAGGAUUAGAUACCCUGGUAGUCCACGCCGUAAACGAUGACAACUAGCCGUUGGGACCCUUGAGGUCUUGGUGGCGAAGCUAACGCGAUAAGUUGUCCGCCUGGGGAGUACGGCCGCAGGUUAAACUCAAUGAUUGACGGGGCCCCACAGCGGGGAGAUGUUGUUAUUCGAUGCACGCGA